RNAcentral lists this ribosomal RNA (319 nucleotides) under uncultured eukaryote. RNAcentral's name for it is "partial 18S ribosomal RNA". It matches the Rfam family "Eukaryotic small subunit ribosomal RNA", at positions 1470 to 1796 of the family's 1831-position model. The record is from RNAcentral.
CCCUUAGAUGUUCUGGGCAGCACGCGCGCUACAAUGGUCUUCGCAAACGGAUGCAUUCUCGAAGGAGAAUGCCAAUCUUGGAAUCUAUGCCUUGGUCGGGACAGUUGCUUGCAAUUUUUCGACUCGAACCAGGAAUUCCUUGUAAUCGUGAUUCAUCACAUCACGAUGAAUACGUCCCUGCCCUUUGUACACACCGCCCGUCGCUCCUACCGAUCGAAGAGUUAGGUGAAUUGUUUUGAUCGAUAAGAUUUGACUAUGGUCAACUCUCGUUGUGAAAUUCUGUGAAUCUGACUGUUUAGAGGAAGGUAAAGUCGUAACA